RNAcentral lists this transfer RNA (92 nucleotides) under Fuerstiella marisgermanici. RNAcentral's name for it is "Fuerstia marisgermanicae Selenocysteine transfer RNA". It matches the Rfam family "Selenocysteine transfer RNA". The record is from Rfam by way of RNAcentral. Lineage: Bacteria; Pseudomonadati; Planctomycetota; Planctomycetia; Planctomycetales; Planctomycetaceae.
GGAAGUGAUUGCGAUCUGGUGAUCGUCGCGGUCUUCAAAACCGUUGAGGCGCGUUAACCCGUGCCUGGUGGGUUCGAUUCCCAUCCACUUCC